GAUGAACGCUAGCGGGAGGCUUAAUACAUGCAAGUCGAACGGUAACAUGAGAGCUUGCUCUUGAUGACGAGUGGCGCACGGGUGAGUAACGCGUACACGACCUACCUUAUACAGGGGGAUAGCCUUUGGAAACGGAGAUUAAUACCCCAUAGUAUUGUGAUGAACUUUGCAAUUAAAGCUUCGGUGGUAUAAGAUGGGUGUGCGUACUAUUAGAUAGUUGGUGAGGUAACGGCUCACCAAGUCGACGAUAGUUAGGGGGCGUGAGAGCGUGGCCCCCCACACGGGUACUGAGACACGGACCCGACUCCUACGGGAGGCAGCAGUAAGGAAUAUUGGACAAUGGGCGCAAGCCUGAUCCAGCCAUCCCGCGUGGAGGAUGACGGCCCUCUGGGUUGUAAACUCCUUUUGUACAGGACGAAUAGCAGUCAUUUAUGAUUGUGUGACGGUACUGUAAGAAUAAGCACCGGCUAACUCCG
This 476-nucleotide ribosomal RNA is filed under the name uncultured Saprospiraceae bacterium. Its description in RNAcentral is "bacterial SSU rRNA". It matches the Rfam family "Bacterial small subunit ribosomal RNA", at positions 28 to 505 of the family's 1533-position model. Lineage: Bacteria; Pseudomonadati; Bacteroidota; Saprospiria; Saprospirales; Saprospiraceae. The record is from RNAcentral.